GACGAACGCUGGCGGCGUGCUUAACACAUGCAAGUCGAACGGAAAGGCCCUGCUUUUGUGGGGUGCUCGAGUGGCGAACGGGUGAGUAACACGUGAGUAACCUGCCCUUGACUUUGGGAUAACUUCGGGAAACUGGGGCUAAUACCGGAUAGGAGCUCCUGCUGCAUGGUGGGGGUUGGAAAGUUUCGGCGGUUGGGGAUGGACUCGCGGCUUAUCAGCUUGUUGGUGGGGUAGUGGCUUACCAAGGCUUUGACGGGUAGCCGGCCUGAGAGGGUGACCGGCCACAUUGGGACUGAGAUACGGCCCAGACUCCUACGGGAGGCAGCAGUGGGGAAGAUUGCACAAUGGGCGGAAGCCUGAUGCAGCAACGCCGCGUGCGGGAUGACGGCCUUCGGGUUGUAAACCGCUUUCGCCUGUGACGAAGCGUGAGUGACGGUAAUGGGUAAAGAAGCACCGGCUAACUACGUG
Molecule: ribosomal RNA, 468 nt
Filed under: uncultured bacterium
Lineage: Bacteria
Description: partial 16S ribosomal RNA
Rfam family: Bacterial small subunit ribosomal RNA
Source: RNAcentral